GUUGAUACAGUCCAGUAUGUGGUAUGCAAGAGUGAUUAAUCAUAAGACUCGAGAUAACAACAAGAUGAAACCUUUAUCAUGGCUGGUGUAUCAAAAUUGUAUAGAGAUGGGUUAGUACAGUCCAGUAAGCUGUAUGUAAAGGCAAAAAAUCAUAAAACUUCAGAUAAUAAUCUGAAGAAAUCUAAAUCACGGGAGGUGUAUCAAUAUUGUAUACAGAUGGGUUAGUACAGUCCAGUAAGCUGUAUGGAGAGGCGAAAAAUCAUUAAACUCCAGAUAAUAAUCUGAUGAAAUCUACAUCAUGG
Metopolophium dirhodum (rose-grain aphid) is the source of this 302-nucleotide long non-coding RNA. RefSeq lists it as uncharacterized. NCBI's taxonomy places the organism in Eukaryota, Metazoa, Arthropoda, Insecta, Hemiptera, Aphididae. The record is from RefSeq and is a predicted model, not a curated record. The transcript has 3 exons.